AGCAGCCGCGGUAAUUCCAGCUCCAAUAGCGUAUAUUAAAGUUGUUGCAGUUAAAAAGCUCGUAGUUGAAUUUCGGGAUUUGUCCAUUGGUCGGACCUCACGGUCCGUACUGGUGUGAUGGGUUCCUACCUUCUGAAUAACCAGCAUGCCAUUUAGUUGGUGCGCCGGGGAAGCAGAGCUAUUACCUUGAAAAAAUUAGAGUGCUUAAAGCGGGCU
RNAcentral lists this ribosomal RNA (216 nucleotides) under uncultured Acaulospora. RNAcentral describes it as "partial small subunit ribosomal RNA". It matches the Rfam family "Eukaryotic small subunit ribosomal RNA", at positions 569 to 786 of the family's 1831-position model. Lineage: Eukaryota; Fungi; Glomeromycota; Glomeromycetes; Diversisporales; Acaulosporaceae. The record is from RNAcentral.